GGCCAACUUCAACACGAACUCUGAAUAACGACCAAGAGUGAUAUGGUGGGAUUUUAAUUGGAUUUUAAUGGGUUUCCAACGAAGAAGUAACAGGCAAAUCUCAGGGAUGUUUUCCAAUUGAUCUUCAACGAUAGUUCUAACGCUGUAUCACUGGAAAAUCUAGCCAAACCACCCCCAUUUAUCUCUUUCAUCUCAGUUUUCUCUCUCUUAUCUCACUGUAUUUCUCUCAAGUGUUUGUGCAUUGGGCAUUGAAAGUAUGACUCAGUGUAUUGUGGAGAAGAAUCUACUUCUCUGGUGUGAGUGUAUUCUCAGUAAAUUUGUUAGUGAGGGUCAUAUGUGUGUAUAUCUGUUCUCU
RNAcentral lists this long non-coding RNA (355 nucleotides) under Capsicum annuum. RNAcentral describes it as "long non-coding RNA (CANN_LNC012187)". Lineage: Eukaryota; Viridiplantae; Streptophyta; Magnoliopsida; Solanales; Solanaceae. The record is from RNAcentral.